UACGGAGGGUGCAAGCGUUAAUCGGAAUUACUGGGCGUAAAGCGCACGCAGGCGGUUUGAUAAGUUAGAUGUGAAAGCCCCUGGCUCAACCUGGGAAUUGCAUUUAAAACUGUCCAGCUAGAGUGUUGUAGAGGGGGGUAGAAUUCCAGGUGUAGCGGUGAAAUGCGCAGAGAUCUGGAGGAAUACCGGUGGCGAAGGCGGCCCCCUGGACAAAGACUGACGCUCAGGUGCGAAAGCGUGGGGAGCGAACAGG
RNAcentral lists this ribosomal RNA (253 nucleotides) under uncultured bacterium. Its description in RNAcentral is "partial 16S ribosomal RNA". It matches the Rfam family "Bacterial small subunit ribosomal RNA", at positions 524 to 776 of the family's 1533-position model. The record is from RNAcentral.